This is a long non-coding RNA of Dreissena polymorpha, 4319 nucleotides long. RefSeq lists it as uncharacterized. The record is from RefSeq and is a predicted model, not a curated record. The transcript has 5 exons. NCBI's taxonomy places the organism in Eukaryota, Metazoa, Mollusca, Bivalvia, Myida, Dreissenidae.
CAAUCUGGUUUUAGUUUACUUUCCAUUUCCUUUUCAGUGAACUUUACUAGCAAACAUGACAAACGUCAUUGAAGUGAAAGUCGAUAACAGCCCCCUUCUUGCACACAUACUACAACUCGCUUAAGAAAUUCAGCAUGAAGACGUCUUGCGUCAGAAUACCAAGCCUCCUAUCAAUAUCUCCUCUCAUGUUGGCUACAUCAACACUUCCAACAGCAGAGCCUUGGUGAAUUGACUUCCGUCUCAGCAUCGAUGUCGCUUAGCAACAAUUGGAUGAUGGGCGUCGACAAAUUAGGCCGGACAAGUCGCUCGAACUGAAACGAUCUGAUCCAACAGGUAGAGCAGGCAUUGCGUGACACGUCUGUUAAUGUGACUGACCUCGAUAUGUUGUUCUCAAAUAAUGUGAACCUUAGGCCUGGAGAGCAGUAUGCGAUUGACGCCAUUCAACAACAGUUGUUGUCGGCAAUUCUCGGGUUUGGGGUGGCGACUUCGGCGUCGGGACUCACUACAUCUCUGUCUAUGGCCCAGUCGCAGCAGCAGCAGCAGCAACAAGAACAAUAAAGCCGGUUCCUACAGGAUCCCAUGCAGUCAUAGAUCGGUACCCUGCUGAACAACAGGCUGUCUGGUAAGCUGGGCCCGGAUAGGUGCAGCCAGUCUAAAGCUGGGGCUCCACACUUUCCUGCCAAGUGGGCUGAUAUUACCUCUUCUACAAGGGACAUAUGUCAGUGAUGCGCAAAGAGCUGGUUUUCUGUUCACAGAGAAGUAUCCUAACAACUCCAACUCAGCCACUACAUCUCAAUAGACAACCCGAAUAUCAAGGCGUUAAGUUUCUUCUGGAUGCAGUUAAUCACAGCUUUCAAGCCAGCAGCUGUCGAUGUAUUGAGAUUCUCUCCUCUCCUUGUUACCUGACCUGCUGCCUGUGAACAUCCUCCACAUAGAACCUUUAUCCCAUUCGAUGUUAUUAAACCGGCCAAUCAAAAAGACAGCCUGUUACAGCACUUGUCAUUAGAUUGACGCCAUGCAUGCCUUUGAAGAUCAUUUAUACAUACAGUUUAAGCAUGAUAGUCAAUAAGUGCCUGCGUUGGCUUCUUAAACGACUCGCAGUCCUGAGCAUUUACUAUGGAAUUCCUCAUCUUGAAAUAUUGGGAAGGCAGGAAAACGCCUGUCACUGUUAAGACAAAAAUGAGGGAAUGACAAAGAACAAUAAGACCAGCCAAGUCUUGUGGCCAGCCAAGUCCUGUGAUAAGCCAAGUCUUGUGGCCAGCCAAGUCCUGUGAUAAGCCAAGUCUUGUGAUCAGACAAGUCUUGUGAUUAGCCAAGUCCUGUGAUAAGCCAAGUCCUGUGAUCAGCCAAGUCCUGUGAUAAGCCAAGUCCUGUGGCCAGACACGUCUUGUGAUCAGCCAAGCUUUGUGAUCAGCCAAGUCCUGUGAUAAGCCAAGUCUUGUGGCCAGCCAAGUCCUGUGAUCAGCCAAGUCCUGUGAUCAGCCAAGUCCUGUGAUCAGCCAAGUCCUGUAGCCAGACACGUCUUGUGAUCAGCCAAGUCAUGUGAUCAGCCAAGUUUUAGGAUCAGCUUAGUUCUUUGGCCAGCCAAGUCAUGUGACCAGUGAAGUGUUUUUACCAGUCAUGUCCUAUGACCAGCAGCUUUGUCUCGUGUGUACAGUCUGAUUGUAUGGGAAGAAAAAUCUACAUUUCAUAUUGUAUGGGCAUAAUGAUACUGACAGUAUCUUGAUGAUUAAGUAUUUUGUUAUAUAUUGGUAAAUAGACCAAUAUGAUAAGGGGAAACUCAGUAAUAGCAGUAAUUUAAAGUUUUAUUUCAAGAGCAAAAUAAUGCAAGUACUACUAUUUUGUCUGUAUUCAGAAACUGACUCUAUAUAGCUUUAUCCUGAUUAUCGUAAACAGACAGACAAAAUGAUUGUACAAUUGUUGUUUAUUUAAACAUUGAUUUUAAGCCUUCACAAAGUUGUUUAAAUAAUGCCGAUACCUUGGACAAUAGGUAAUGUAUUUAUUGUAUAAACAAGACAUGUUUAUUUUUAGUUUUUACCUAUAAAAUAGCAAUAUGUGCUAGGUAAAAUAAUUGAUCAGAACGGUUCAUAAUUGUGAUGCUUCUAUUCUGAUAUGUCUGUCAUUCUGUCUGUGUUCAUUUAUCAUCAGUUUGCUCUUUUGAUGCUGUAUUUUAUCAAGAAUUUCAUGUAGUGAUGUAAUAGUAAAAUAUCAAUUAAUUAUUUGAUUUAUUCAAACUAAAUUAACCUUCUGUUAAUUAUCAAUUUAUUUAUUGACAACAGAUACUUUGUUUAAUAUUAACAAUAGUUAAGCGCGUUAUAAAAAAUGUGUGAAUGUGCAUGCAUAAUAUUGUAUAAUUAAUGAAAACAUUAAUGGAAAAACAAUGUAAAUAAAGGAAAAUUUAGAAGUGCAUCUUAAUUGUAAUGGAGUUUGUUUAAUUUUUAAAAAAAGUAUGCUUUCAUUGUUGAAAAUAUGAUAGUAAUUCCUCCACAAGUAAUUUUAUUUCAAAGUGAGUAUUUUCAUGAAUAAUGAUCCUAGAUAUGGUUGUAGAUUGUUCUUGUUGUAUCAUAUACUGACAUGCUCAUCAUUUGUGUUGACAUUUGCAUUCUAGCAUUAAAAGUUCAUUAUGCUUUAAAUAUUUGUAUGUACACAUUUGCGACCAGCUUUUCUAAUGUAAUAAGUGAAUAACGUAACACAGAUUUAUGUGUCAAUGUAUAUAAGUUUAUUUUGUCAUUUGUAAAUAGAUCAACUGCAAAGCUAAUGUUUUUGUUUGUACAUUAUUCAUAAAAUUUCAAACAGAUACAUUCACUGUUUUAAUUCAUUUGUACAAAAUUGUUUCAUAUUAAACAUCAUUUACAUAUCAGGCAAUAGAGAAAAAGAAUUGCUUUGGAUGAAUGAGCACAUUAACCUGUAGAGUUAAUUAAGACAUGCAGAAUAUCAGAUUAUUAACAUAAUAAUAUACUUUAAGCAUUAGAAACACCUUGUUUUAUGUCAAGCUUUUCAGUUAAUAUAAUUAAGCAACUAUUAUCUGGAAAUUUGGAAAACAGUGAAGAACGAUUCAAGGGAGAGCAACUGUGAUAUACUAAAUAAAAGUCGUCUCCCUUGUUAGAGUAUAAUUGUACCUCUCAACGUAACAAGAACAUUGAAUCUUUUUUUAUUAUUCCACACUAUAAACUAUAUACUAUAUUCAUUCAGCAAUCACUAAAGAAAUACAUAAUUGUUUAUUUCUAUGCGUUAUACCAAAUUCUCCAGUAUGGCAUCAAUUAAAAUUCAUCAUAUUUUAAUUGCCAAAAUUGGCCAUACAGUGCUUAAAGUUUGGUAUUCUGACUAUUAUAAGUGCAUGUUCGCAUACAAUAUCACAUUGUAUUUUUUCACACUGAGGCAAUACGUGUUAAUAUAUUCAUUUUUAUUUAUUGACUUGUUGUUGCUUGUCAAGGUGUCUGAUUUUGAAUUAUAGCUGUUAAUUGAUUGUGACUAUUUCCAGUGUUGAAUGAUUGCUUUUAGGUUCUUGUUUACAAGUUUUGUAAAAGGUGUUUUCAUGUUGACCGCUCCACAUUAAAUGUCGUUUACGCGCAUUCACUGCGGCCAGGUUCCGUAAAACUCCCAACUCAUCUGAUGUCUUAUGAUUGGAUUCCAUACACACUUGUUUUUUUAUAUCAGCUUGCUUUGCAUUAAACAUGUCUGCUUUGUUGUUGAACAAUUAUACACAGCUUUUUAUUGGACAAAAUUGUGUAAUAUUUCAAAUUUUUGCUUUCGCUUUUUUAUUUCCAACAAAAUAUAUUUUGUUUUGUUUUUGUAUGUAUAUUUAGCUAUAAUAAAAUUGUUUCUAUAAUAUAUAAACAAUAUAUUAUAAGCAUUUAAAUAUAUUGGUAAAAGUAGAUUUAAGGUUCAAAAUCAUGUCUUAAUUUGUUUGAUUAUCCAAAAUUAACAUUUUGCAAAAGCAAAACUUGUUGAAGAAAAACUUUAUGCAACGUACCACCAGGUCUUUUAACCAUUGAUUGUGUAUCACUAAUGAUCAGGACUUAAUCAGGGAUUAAUAAUUGCCUAUGCACGGUUAUAAUGUUUGUGUUAUUGAAUUGAAUCAUUUCUGUAGUUUGGUGCACAUUAAUUGUUGUUGUUUUUUUAAGACAUAGCACAUGUCAUAUAAUAUAGUAUCGUUGUAGUUUUGGUAUGUUUAGGGAUAUAAUCAUGUUAAUGUAUGUGAUUUGCUGAUCAAUUUCUUGUUGUUUCACUCCAUUUUAUGUAUAUAGCCAUGCAUAGAGCAGGAAUAUUGCUGUACUGUGAAAAAAAUGUUGUUAUAGCAAAUAAAAAAUGUAUGUUAA